This 616-nucleotide unclassified non-coding RNA is filed under the name Hevea brasiliensis (rubber tree). The record is from RNAcentral. Lineage: Eukaryota; Viridiplantae; Streptophyta; Magnoliopsida; Malpighiales; Euphorbiaceae.
UCAUCAACAACCUUGUCACACAUUUUUAAUACAAUUUCAGAUGCACCUUUGCAAAAUGCCCGAAAUCCCCCUUCAGGAAGAGCCACAAGCAGAGACAUCUUUUUCCUGACUGAACUGAAAGGCUCAACCUUAAGUAUCUGAAACUCUUUGCGCUGUGCAUCAAAAUCACCACCUAAAAGCAAGCCAAAUUCUAAUAGUGCUUUUUCUGUUGGUGUUCCCAAAAUUUUCAUCUGUCCAUCUUCAUCCUUACUUAUUUCACAACCUGUAUUUUGAAAUAUAACCUGCAAAAGGAAGCUCAAGGCACAUUCAGAUAUUUCCAAUCCCAAAAUGCCUUCACUGUUAUUGUUGUUAAUAGCUUUAGCUUUUCCACAUAUCCAUAUUUUAUCAACUACCAUGUGGUUAGUGGUUAAGGUCCCUGUUUUAUCCGUGCAAAUACAACUAGCAGAACCCAUUGUCUCACAUGCAGAGAGGUGCCUAACUAGCGCCCUGUCAUGCAUCAAUUUUUUCAUUGCAAAUGCAAGACUCAAAGUCACUGCCAAUGGUAAUCCUUCAGGAACAGCAACAACAAUUAUGGUUACUGCAAUAGCAAAGUAGUCCAGAAGUGUGAAUGCAUCAU